Molecule: ribosomal RNA, 450 nt
Filed under: uncultured bacterium
Lineage: Bacteria
Description: partial 16S ribosomal RNA
Rfam family: Bacterial small subunit ribosomal RNA
Source: RNAcentral
GUGGGGAAUAUUGGACAAUGGGCGAAAGCCUGAUCCAGCCAUGCCGCGUGUGUGAAGAAGGUCUUCGGAUUGUAAAGCACUUUAAGUUGGGAGGAAGGGCAGUAAGUUAAUACCUUGCUGUUUUGACGUUACCGACAGAAUAAGCACCGGCUAACUUCGUGCCAGCAGCCGCGGUAAUACGAAGGGUGCAAGCGUUAAUCGGAAUUACUGGGCGUAAAGGGCGCGUAGGUGGUUCAGCAAGUUGGAGGUGAAAUCCCCGGGCUCAACCUGGGAACUGCCUCCAAAACUACUGGGCUAGAGUACGGUAGAGGGUAGUGGAAUUUCCUGUGUAGCGGUGAAAUGCGUAGAUAUAGGAAGGAACACCAGUGGCGAAGGCGACCACCUGGACUGAUACUGACACUGAGGUGCGAAAGCGUGGGGAGCAAACAGGAUUAGAUACCCCAGUAGUCC